GACGAACGCUUGCGGCGUGCUUAACACAUGCAAGUCGAACGCUGAAGCUUGGUGCUUGCCCUGGGUGGAUGAGUGGCGAACGGGUGAGUAAUACGUGAGUAACCUGCCCUUGACUCUGGGAUAAGCCUGGGAAACUGGGUCUAAUACUGGAUACGACAUGUCACCGCAUGGUGGUGUGUGGAAAGGGUUUUACUGGUUUUGGAUGGGCUCACGGCCUAUCAGCUUGUUGGUGGGGUAAUGGCUCACCAAGGCGACGACGGGUAGCCGGCCUGAGAGGAUGACCGGCCACACUGGGACUGAGACACGGCCCAGACUCCUACGGGAGGCAGCAGUGGGGAAUAUUGCACAAUGGGCGGAAGCCUGAUGCAGCGACGCCGCGUGAGGGAUGACGGCCUUCGGGUUGUAAACCUCUUUCAGCACGGAAGAAGCGAAAGUGACGGUACGUGCAGAAGAAGCGCCGGCUAACUACGUG
Molecule: ribosomal RNA, 472 nt
Filed under: uncultured bacterium
Lineage: Bacteria
Description: partial 16S ribosomal RNA
Rfam family: Bacterial small subunit ribosomal RNA
Source: RNAcentral